AACGAACGUUGGCGGCGCGCCUAACACAUGCAAGUCGCACGCGAAAGGGAGUAAUCCCCGGUAGAGUGGCGCACGGGUGAGUAACACGUGGAUAAUCUUCCCUUGAGCGGGGGAUAACCUUCCGAAAGGAGGGCUAAUACCGCAUAAGACCACGACCAGUACGCUGGACGAGGUUAAAGCUGGCCUCUUCAUGAAAGCUAGCACUCGAGGAUGAGUCCGCGGCCCAUCAGCUAGUUGGUAGUGUAAAAGACUACCAAGGCUAAGACGGGUAGCUGGUCUGAGAGGAUGAUCAGCCACACUGGAACUGAGACACGGUCCAGACUCCUACGGGAGGCAG
Molecule: ribosomal RNA, 337 nt
Filed under: uncultured Pseudomonadota bacterium
Lineage: Bacteria; Pseudomonadati; Pseudomonadota
Description: bacterial SSU rRNA
Rfam family: Bacterial small subunit ribosomal RNA
Source: RNAcentral